RNAcentral lists this ribosomal RNA (596 nucleotides) under uncultured Amoebozoa. Its description in RNAcentral is "bacterial SSU rRNA". It matches the Rfam family "Eukaryotic small subunit ribosomal RNA", at positions 21 to 550 of the family's 1831-position model. The record is from RNAcentral.
UAGUCAUAUGCUUGUCUAAAAGAUUAAGCCAUGCAAGUCUAAGGAUAAACAAUGUUUACCGUAAACCUGCGAAUAGCUCAUUAAAUCAGUUAUAAUCUAUUUGAUAAUUAAAUUCUUAAUUGGAUAACCGUAGUAAUUCUAGAGCUAAUACAUGCAUUAAAGUUCAAACUUUAUCCGGCAACGGGUAAGGAAUGAACGUAUUUAUUAGAACUAUCAAAAACUAAUUUUACAGUUAUGCUUGUUCGAAAGGAUGAGUGUGCUGUAAAAAACGUUAUCUUUUAAAGGAUGAAUCAUGAUAAAUUUACGAAAUCGAAAUCUUUAAUUUUAAAGGUUUUGAUGAUGCAAAUGAGUUUCUGACCUAUCAACUUUCGAUGGUAGUGUAUUGGACUACCAUGGUUAUGACGGGUAACGGAGAAUUUGGGUUUGAUUCCGGAGAAAAAGCCUGAGAGACGGCUAUUACUUCCAAGGAAGGCAGCAGGCGCGUAAAUUACCCAAUCCCAAUUCGGGGAGGUAGUGACAAGAAAUACUGAUAUUGAUCCCUACGGGAACAGCGAUUGGAAUGAGAACAAUUUAAAAAACUUAACGACUAACAAUUG